UGCAGUCAGCCACCGCCUUAGUUCUAGGGUGGCUAAUGGGGUACAAGCUCUUCCUCGUCCUUCGCUCCCAAACUAUUCCAGGUCCCAUUUGUAAUGGAAGCACAGAUCAAAGAUCUUAACAAGAGAGAAGAACCAGUUUUCAAUUCCUCGAUGCCUUUGUGAGACUCCAGCUCUUGUCUUGCACAAUUACGAGGAGGAAUGUUUUGUGGGCACACUGAGAUGAGCUGAAGACACCUUGGAAGCACGUGGCCCCCUGGAGGCGGGGCUGGGAGCCAGGGCGGCAAAGGGCACAGAGCCUGUCUUCAACAGGAACUGCUGCAUUUCCCAAAAAUUCCCCUUGCUGCCCUAAAACCAGAUUAACGGAGAGCCCUCCAGACAGCUGACCACGUCACCAGCCGCGAAGGGGCUCAAGCAUCACAAGAAUAAAUUGAGAACAUUCUGCUGCAACUCAGAUAUUCAUGGGACUCCUGACAUUGCGGGUAAAGAAAGUGGUUUCUUAUCCCAUUCACUGAAUGUAAUUUAUUUCCCCUUGAAACAAAAAGACCUAAUUAAAAACAAAAACAAAAAACUAAUCUUGUGCCAUCCCCCACUCAAAGGCCCCCAAGUC
Molecule: long non-coding RNA, 607 nt
Organism: Hyaena hyaena (striped hyena)
Lineage: Eukaryota; Metazoa; Chordata; Mammalia; Carnivora; Hyaenidae
Exons: 3
Source: RefSeq, a predicted model, not a curated record